Molecule: long non-coding RNA, 640 nt
Organism: Brassica oleracea var. oleracea
Lineage: Eukaryota; Viridiplantae; Streptophyta; Magnoliopsida; Brassicales; Brassicaceae
Exons: 4
Source: RefSeq, a predicted model, not a curated record
CUUGUGAAUCUCCUCGUUGGAAUUGAAAUCACCUCUCCUCACUGAAUCGCCGUUCGGUAAUCAAUCCGUAAACCCUAAUCAUUGUUUGAUUCUGGAUUUUUUUUGUAUCAGGCAGAAGACGGAGAUUCAUGGCUAAUAAUCAUAUCAUGCUCUACUUAGCAUCUGUUAUCUUGCUUCUAGGGAUUAUCAGUUCAUCCUUCAACAUGCAGAUGUAUCCGCAAGGAAGGAUGUCUCAUCAUUUCAGGGAGAUGUGUGUUGGAGACCAUCUUGCUGUUAAGGGACCAAAGUUUGAGUGGGCGUGGCAGCAUCCGAGAGCGUGCAGUACGAGAAGCUGCUGCUGCUUUCAAGUCCUUCUCUGGACUUGCACGCAAGAUCAAGCUUGCAUACACAAUGCUAACUCUUCCAGCUUGGAAUAGCUUGAACCUGACAGUCAACUAUUUCUCAUCAAAGUAUGCGCACCACAGCGGUGUUUCUCCAAGUUUGCCUCCCCACAUGAAAGUCCAAGUCUGUGCUAAAGGAGACAACGAUUCUCAACCCGAAGAUGAAGAGAGUCUUGAUAGUAAUGAAGAAGAGGAUGAUAAUAAUACCCAAAGCCAGCCUAGGAAUCCAACUACAAGCUCAUUGGAUGGCUUUCUACUUA